Molecule: ribosomal RNA, 255 nt
Filed under: uncultured bacterium
Lineage: Bacteria
Description: partial 16S ribosomal RNA
Rfam family: Bacterial small subunit ribosomal RNA
Source: RNAcentral
CGUAGGGAGCAAGCGUUGUUCGGAUUUACUGGGCGUAAAGGGCGCGUAGGCGGCCUGACAGGUCACUUGUGAAAUCUCCGAGCUUAACUCGGAACGGUCAAGUGAAACCAACAGGCUAGAGUGCAGAAAGGGCAAUCGGAAUUCUUGGUGUAGCGGUGAAAUGCGUAGAUAUCAAGAGGAACACCUGAGGCGAAGGCGGGUUGCUAGGCUGACACUGACGCUGAGGCGCGAAAGCCAGGGGGAGCAAACGGGAUU